AAUGUUUUUCACACAUAAAGGGAUUGUAAAAUGUUUCAUUCAACCUUGUCCUUGAUGCAUGGCUUCAGUGUCUAAUGGAUCCCUUUGUUGUUGCUUCAUGUAACUUUCCACAUGUAUAGUUAGAUUUCUGCUGAAAGCAUCUUUCUGCCCCAAUUGUACAUUUCCAGUUCUCUUCAAAUACUUUAGACAAAUUAUUCAUGUAUAUGGUUCUGAAAGCAUGCACUAAGCAGGAGCCAGGAGGCAGGCUCAAUAAUUCAUAGUAUUGUGUCAAAGGCAACGUAAUAAAUUACAUGAUUCAAUCCUGUGUAACGGAUAGAAAGAGCUUGCAAUUUCUGUAAGUACUUUGCUGAGCUUGUUUUGAAACAAGUUGGAACUUUGAUCAAGCAUCUAUAAUGCUUUUUCUGUUGUCACUUUGUAUGUAAUCUACACAUUAUUGAUUGUCUAGAAAGGACCUGAAGGAGUGACAAUAUUACAUAUAUCAGUUAGUUUAUCUUGAAAGGGCAGAUAUGGUUGGAUUUUCAUGGGACAAUGGGACAAUAUUUUGUAGUGAACAAAUCUUUUUAGAGUGUGGAUUUGCAUGUAGGGAGUGGGCACAUUUGAUAUCUCCAUCUAGUUUAAGAUUUCAUCUAAAUGGUACCGAGUUAUGUACGACGUAAAUUUGACCGUGUUGCUAGCCAUUGGAAAUUAGAGCUAGUGGUUCAGUAACGCAGCCAUUUGAAAUUAGAGCUGGUGGUUCGGUUAUUCUCAAGGGUGUGCUGUGUCAUAUAAAUUGCUUUGACAAUUAUAAUUAUAAUGUUCGUGUUAAAUGCAGAUCAACUUCAUCCAUUGGCUGGUGCAGUUGGGAUAAUUUGAGCUCUUUCUUAUGACAUAAUGCUUCUUGAUGCACUUUAUUCUGUGAUUUGUCUUAGGUUCGCAGACUUAGGAUACAACAGAGAAUUAAAAGUGCUGAACUUUGAAUCCUUAAUGAAGAGCAAGAAAACGAACUUCCUGAUUUUCCAACUUUCAUCCCGCGUUUGCCUCCUUUGACCCCAGCGAAUCUUAAGAUGUACUAUGCAACUUGUUUCUCUCUUAUUGCUGGAAUCAUCAUCUUCGGAGGUCUUCUUGCUCCAACUAUGUUUAUAUCGAUGUCCCAGAUAUCAUAGAUAUUAGUCACAUGCGCAGCAAGGGUUUGCAGCAAGGGGAAGAGCUACUACCAGAAGUAGGUUGGUGAAUCAGGAUUUUACAAAAAGCAUCGAAAAUGCGCCAGCAAAUCUGGAUUUUUCAGAAUGCAAGCAGGUUUUCAAGUACAGAAAACACUGUAGAGUUUGUGACAAAUGUGUCGAUGGCUUCGAUCAUCAUUGCAGGUGGCUCAACAACUGUAUAGGAAGAAAAAACUACAGAUGGUUUUUCACACUCAUGGUUUCUGCCCUACUAUUGGUGUUCGUGGUUUGUGCACCUUGGUCUUGAGGUUGCUCCUUAUUCUACUGUGGUCCAUGGGCAUCCUUGUAUUGAUAUAAUGUUUCCUUGAGCGGAAGCAGUUUGCUGCAGAGAUCGUAUCGAAGCUGGGGAGAAGUUUCUCUUUGGUGCCCUUUGUUGUUGUUGUGGCUUCUUGCACCGUCUUGGCAAUGAUUGCUACUCUACCACUUGCCCUGCUCUUUUUCUUCCAUUUUCUUCUCAUAAAGAAGGUAGUAGAGAGCAAUUGCAAUUCUGCUGCUGUCCUGUAUUAUUCACUCAAAUCUCUGACUGCUUGUGGAUGGGGUUUGAAGGGCCUUCAGUAGUAAUCUUCUCCCCUUCUAGAUGCUUGCAGAGAGUAAUUUUACUAAUGGCAGUAAUCCCAAAAACCAUAAACUAUUUUCCUCGCAUAUAUGUGCAUGUGUAAAGAUUUCUUAAAAAAUGGUUACCUUUUGGCAGAUGAUUCCUGUCUCGAAGUUGUGUAUAGAAUGUAUUGGCUAUGUUAUCACAUUCACACAUACAGGAAAACCCAGACAUUGACUCUCUGCAGCGAAGUCAUGGAACUUCUACGGCCGGAUGUGCAGCAUCUCCUGUCCCACUUAAAGACUGAUCUGAAUUCCUCCACUUAUGCAGCAUCUCAUCCAAAGCUAGUCCAAAAUCCAACAUGACUGGCUCGCAUUUUAGGGCUCGUAGUACUUCAGCUUUUCAUACAUUCACUCACACCUUCCUGGACAUCUAGGUGAGCACAGAGUGAAAUGGCAUAAAUGGCUCUGUGGUGAUGUAAAAUUCCCACAACUAACUACAACAAUCAAACUAAAAUUACAGUUAUUGUGUAUUUUUUGUGGGCUUGUAUAGAGUUUGAGAACUUUCUUAGAAAAUUCCGUAGGGGAGAACUUUGCCUUAACUAGUGCAAGGCUGAAUGGGAAAGAAAUGAUUGCAGAAGGUCUCGCAAUGCAUUUUGUCCCGUCUGAGGUUUGCUUCUCUUUUCAUGUCAAGUAUGUUUUUAGAACCAUGAAUUCUUAAGAUGCAUUUACAUGUGGAGGCUAAAGAAAUUCGUGAGAGAUUGAAGAGGUGAUUUGUAUGCCAAGAUAGCACUCUUGUAUGAUGUAUGGGCCAAUUGUUUGGUGGG
Molecule: long non-coding RNA, 2560 nt
Organism: Magnolia sinica
Lineage: Eukaryota; Viridiplantae; Streptophyta; Magnoliopsida; Magnoliales; Magnoliaceae
Exons: 10
Source: RefSeq, a predicted model, not a curated record